AUUGAACGCUGGCGGCAUGCCUUACACAUGCAAGUCGAACGGCAGCACGGGAGCAAUCCUGGUGGCGAGUGGCGAACGGGUGAGUAAAGUAUCGGAACGUGCCCAGUCGUGGGGGAUAACGUAGCGAAAGUUACGCUAAUACCGCAUACGAUCUAUGGAUGAAAGCGGGGGAUCGCAAGACCUCGCGCGAUUGGAGCGGCCGAUAUCGGAUUAGGUAGUUGGUGGGGUAAAGGCUCACCAAGCCGACGAUCUGUAGCUGGUCUGAGAGGACGACCAGCCACACGGGGACUGAGACACGGCCCAGACUCCUACGGGAGGCAGCAGUGGGGAAUUUUGGACAAUGGGCGAAAGCCUGUUCCAGCCAUGCCGCGUGCAGGAUGAAGGCCUUCGGGUUGUAAACUGCUUUUGUACGGAACGAAAAGGUUUGGGCUAAUAAGCUGAGCUCAUGACGGUACCGUAAGAAUAAGCACCGGCUAACUACGUGCCAGCAGCCGCCGUAA
RNAcentral lists this ribosomal RNA (500 nucleotides) under uncultured bacterium. RNAcentral's name for it is "partial 16S ribosomal RNA". It matches the Rfam family "Bacterial small subunit ribosomal RNA", at positions 30 to 523 of the family's 1533-position model. The record is from RNAcentral.